GGAAGUAAAAGUCGUAACAAGGUUUCCGUAGGUGAACCUGCGGAAGGAUCAUUAAAAAAGUACGGGGGAGACGUUGCUCUUGUUUCUUUGGAAUCGGGACGGCGUUUCCUUUUAGUAUCCAAAUUCUAAAAAUUUUCCGAGUCUGACAUGCAUAUGUAUGCUUAGAUUCAAAAAAAAAAAAAAAUAAUUGAAAACAAAACUUUCAACAAUGGAUCUCUUGGCUCUUGCAUCGAUGAAGAACGCAGUGAAGUGCGAUAUGUAGUGUGAAUUGCAGAAUUCCGUGAAUCAUCGAAUCUUUGAACGCAUAUUGCACUCUCUGGUAUUCCGGAGAGUAUGCCUGUUUGAGGGUCAUUUGAAAUAAUAAAAAUUUCAAGAUUUCUUGGAAUUUAAAAUGGGUUGUCCAUUUUUCGAUGGUCGCCUAAAAUGCAAGACAAGCUCAUUUCUUGGGUUGCGUGAUACUUUUCAGUUACCUCGUGACACUUACCAAGGAAUCAUCGGGCGUGUUAUGAAUUUUGCAAGAGAUAAAUAAAUUCGAUUUAUCUCGUGUGAAAUAUCAAUUGAAUCAUGACCUCAAAUUAGGUAGGAGUACCCGCUGAACUUAAGCAUAUCAAUAAGCGGAGGA
Molecule: ribosomal RNA, 622 nt
Filed under: Ambispora appendicula
Lineage: Eukaryota; Fungi; Glomeromycota; Glomeromycetes; Archaeosporales; Ambisporaceae
Description: eukaryotic LSU rRNA
Rfam family: 5.8S ribosomal RNA (bases 198-351)
Source: RNAcentral